Molecule: non-coding RNA, 1300 nt
Organism: Cinara cedri
Lineage: Eukaryota; Metazoa; Arthropoda; Insecta; Hemiptera; Aphididae
Source: the annotation of a GenBank genome assembly
UAUAUGUUAACAUAUGAAAAGACAUAAGGAAACAGAAAAACGGGAGACGACUAAACCGGAAUAACGUGAGUCACGACGAUCGAGCGGGCGGGAAACGUCGGGCGCGGUGACGUUGAACUUGACUCGGAUCGCGAUAAUGAAAACUUUUGUUCGAGAUGAGAUGUACAAACACAUUGAACGGAACAGACGACCGGUCUCGGGCGAGAAUAUAAUAAAAAAAAAAAAAAAAACGAACAUUUGUCUAACACAUCUAAUGUAUCUGAUGAAUAGCUCGUCGUCCGUCGUUUUGCUCAUUUUGAACCAGUUUUUUUUUUUUUUUACAACAGAGUCGCAUACAUCGCCGCGGUAAAACAAACACAUAUAGGUAUAUUGUGAAUCAUUCGGGUCGGUGUGAGUCAUUUGUAGCCGGACAAAACGAAUUGGCGAUGGACCGUCUCUCUAACGCAAGUAUUACGUUAGCGUCUGUCCGCUAGGAAAUCCGGUCGUCCGGAUGAAAUGCGAACCGCUCGGUUUUUGCCCACCGACUCGUGUACCCGGAGGUCGGGACGCGGUUUUCAUAAUAUUAUGGAAAUAAGAGACUAUACCUACUGCAACAGUCACUCUCGAUGCCGGUUGUAUUACAUAUAUAUGCAUUAUGCUAUUCGAAAAGAAACUGUCUAUUAUUCGCGCAGAUGCAUUCACACAUUUGCAACGCCAAUUAUUAUCAUCUCCGCGUUGUGUAUAUUAUAUUAUUGCAUAAUAUUAUACCUAUAAUCAUCAAUAUACCUAAUGACGGGGUUUUAGACAUUUUCACCGUGGCCGACGGUCGUAUAGGCAUAAACCUUUCCAACGGUAAAUAUAAAAUAAUAUAUAAUUUUAUAUAAAAACAUUUCGAAUACAAGUUCAAAGCUUAAAAAACGUUAGCCUUCUGCAAUAGCAUUAUGGUAACAAUAAAUUUAUUGUCAGUUUUAAUCAAUUUGUUUAAAAAAAACUGUUGGGAAACUGGAAAACGAUUGCAGCUGAAUUUACGCCGGACGAAAAAAUCCUAUUCCAAGGUACCGUGUGAAUAAUUUGGAGCGGUUUUACUAACUGAAAAAAUGCAGUUUCCUUUUUUUCCUGAAAAAAUGCACACAUCUUAGUAAAAAUAUAUAAUGGCUUUUUCUUUACACUCGGAAUCCUAAAACACUAUACGGACAUUAAACGGUAAAACCAAACAUAAAAAACUUAAUCGAAUAUACACGCGACUAACGUUUUUGAACGUAGACCACAUUGUCUCUGUGUUAUUUACGAUUAAUCAUCACCAUGAUAUUCUGAUCUGUGG